RNAcentral lists this ribosomal RNA (449 nucleotides) under uncultured bacterium. Its description in RNAcentral is "partial 16S ribosomal RNA". It matches the Rfam family "Bacterial small subunit ribosomal RNA", at positions 29 to 523 of the family's 1533-position model. The record is from RNAcentral.
AACGAACGCUGGCGGCAUGCCUAACACAUGCAAGUCGAACGAGAUCUUCGGGUCUAGUGGCGCACGGGUGCGUAACGCGUGGGAAUCUGCCCUUUGGUUCGGAAUAACAGUUGGAAACGACUGCUAAUACCGGAUGAUGACGAAAGUCCAAAGAUUUAUCGCCAGAGGAUGAGCCCGCGUAGGAUUAGCUAGUUGGUGUGGUAAAGGCGCACCAAGGCGACGACCCUUAGCUGGUCUGAGAGGAUGAUCAGCCACACUGGGACUGAGACACGGCCCAGACUCCUACGGGAGGCAGCAGUGGGGAAUAUUUGACAAUGGGCGAAAGCCUGUUCCAGCAAUGCCGCGUGAGUGAUGAAGGCCUUAGGGUUGUAAAGCUCUUUUACCCGGGAUGAUAAUGACAGUACCGGGAGAAUAAGCUCCGGCUAACUCCGUGCCAGCAGCCGCCGCAG